GGUUUCCAUUCAGCAAUAGACUGUAAACAAGCCUGAUGUUUUGCCUUCAUUUAGGAAGACAUAUCUCAAGACCUAGUAACAGUUUGCUGCUGGCUGCAAAUGACUCUGAUCAUAGAGUGAACUAGCCCUUCAAGUCUCUUUCUCACUGACAUCCCCACAUCUCGUAUGCUUCAGCAUCAAAUCAGUGGUCUUCCCUAAUGUUCCAAAUUCUUUCAUACCUCUGGGCUUCUGCAUUUACUGUCUCCUCUGCCUGAGACUUCUAUGAUCUCUUCUAUUCAUCUGGUGAAUUCAUACUCACUCUUUGAGAUUUAGACCAAACUUCAGCUCCACCAGGAAGUGAUUCAGGCCAGGCUAGGUGCCUAUCUUCUAAGCUUCGAUAACACUCCACUGCACCCUUCUAUGCACUUAACACACUUCAUGAUAGUCUUGGUUUACUUAUUUCUGUGGUACUUCUACAAGAUUCUUGAAAACAUGGACUUAUAUUAUUCAUCUUAUUUUGUUUAUAUAUUCUCAUCUCCUAGUUAGUACAAUUCCUGGCACAUAGGAGAGCUCAUAAAUGUUAUUUAAAUGAAUAAACAAAUAAUUGAAUUAUUAGUAAAAAGCAGGCAAAUUAAGUAGAUUUCUCUACAUUGUCACUUGAAGAUCUUCCCAAAGAACAAAAAUACCUGAAAAGCCACCAUUAGAGAUUUACUAUAGAUUAUUUUGACCUGGCAGUAAAAUUGCAGCAUGGCCUUGAACAAUGCUGGCUUUCUUAGCUAAUAGUUUUUCAUCACAUUAAAGUACACUACAACCAUCCAUCUCCUCCAGAAACCUAAGAGUAGGGUUACAAAAGAACAUAAAAGGUAAGUUCCAAUAAGAGACAAUUCAUGUCUUAAAUUUACAGAAUGGAAUAAUGCUCAAGACAGGGAAGGUCUAAAUAAGUGAUUAGCACACCGUUUUGGGGAGCAUUCAGACUUGAGUUUGAAUCCUAGUUCUACCACUCAAUAGCUAUGAGAUUUGGGAAAAUGUACUUUCUUACUCCUGCAUCAAUUUCUUCAUCUGGAAAAUGGGAAUAUUAACAUCCAAAUCAUAAGAUUAAAUGAGAUAACAUAUAAAAUGCUUUUCAGGAGUUCCCAGGCUCAGGGUCAAAUCGGAGCUGUAGCUGCCAGCCUACGCCAGAGCCACGGCAACACAGGAUCCGAGCCGUAUCUGCAACCUACACCACAGCUCAUGGCAACGUUGGAUCCUUAACCCACUGAGCAAGGGCAGGGACUGAACCCACAACCUCAUGGUUCCUAGUCGGAUUCGUUAACCACUGCGCCAUGACGGGAACUCCUGCACCACUUAUUGAAGAGACUGUCUUUCCUCCACUGAGACUGUCUGUCCUUGCCUCCUUUGUCAUGGAUUAGUUAACCAUAGCACACAGGUUUAUUUUCAGGCUUUCUAUCCUGUCCCAUUGAUCUAUAUUUCUGUUUUUGUGCCAGUACCAUACUGUUUUGAUGACUGUAGCUUUGUAGUAUAGUCUUGAGUCAGGAAGCCUGCUUCCUCCAGUUCUGCUUUUCUUUUUCAAUAUUGCUUUAGCUAUUUUGGAUUUUUUGUGUUUCCAUACAAAUUUUUUUAUUCAUGUAUUUAUUAAAGUAUAGUUGAUUUGCAAUGUUGUGCCAAUUCUGCUGUACAGCAAAGUGACCCAGUCAUGCAUAGCUAUACAUUCCCUUUCUUCUCUCUCUCUUUUUUUUUCUAUCUUUUUGCCUUUUCUAGGGCCAAUUCCUGCAGCAUAUGGAGGUUCCAAGGCUAGGGGACUAAUAAGAGCUGUAGCCACCGGCCUACGCCACAGCCACAGCAACACGGGAUCCAAGUCACGUCUACAAACUACACCACAACUCAUGGAAACACCGGAUCCUUAUCCCACUGAGCAAGGCCAGGGAUUGAACCCGAAACCUCAUGGUUCUUAGUCAGAUUCGUUAUCCAUUGAGCCACGACAGGAACUCCUUAUCUUAUCUUCCACCAUGGUCCAUCCCAAGAGAUUGGAUAUAGUUCCCUGUGCUAUGCAGCAGAACCUCAUUGCUUAUCCAUGCCAUAUAAAUUUUAAAAUGUCCUGUUCUAGUUCUGUGAAGAAUGGCAUUGGAUUAAGAAGAUGUGGUGCAUAUAUACAAUGGAAUACUACUUGGCCAUAAAAAAAGAACAAAGUAGAGUUCCCACUGUGGCUCAGUGAUAAUGAACCUCACUAGCAUCCAUGAGGUUCCAAGUUUGAUCCCUGGCCUCCCUCAGUGGGUUAAGGAUCUAGCACAGACUGGGCUCGGAUCCUGAAUUGCUGUGGCUCUAGCGUAGGCUGGCCACCGCAGCUCCAAUUUGAUUCCUAGCCUAGAAACUUCCAUAUGCUGCACAUGUAGCCCUAAAAAGCAAAAGAAAAAAGAAAAAAAAAAAA
RNAcentral lists this long non-coding RNA (2404 nucleotides) under Sus scrofa (pig). RNAcentral describes it as "lncRNA (ENSSSCG00025069173.1)". Lineage: Eukaryota; Metazoa; Chordata; Mammalia; Artiodactyla; Suidae. The record is from RNAcentral.